CAGUAGCCGCGGGAAAACGAAGGGUGCAAGCGUUACUCGGAAUUGCUGGGCGUAAAGCGUGCGCAGGCGGUUGUGUAAGACAGGUGUGAAAUCCCCGGGCUUAACCUGGGAACUGCGCUUGUGACUGCACAGCUAGAGUAUGGCAGAGGGGGGUGGAAUUCCACGUGUAGCAGUGAAAUGCGUAGAGAUGUGGAGGAACACCGAUGGCGAAGGCAGCCCCCUGGGCCAAUACUGACGCUCAUGCACGAAAGCGUGGGGAGCAAACAGGAUUAGAUACCCCAGUAGUCCCUGUCUCUUAUAC
RNAcentral lists this ribosomal RNA (301 nucleotides) under uncultured bacterium. RNAcentral describes it as "partial 16S ribosomal RNA". It matches the Rfam family "Bacterial small subunit ribosomal RNA", at positions 509 to 807 of the family's 1533-position model. The record is from RNAcentral.